AUUGAACGCUGGCGGCAUGCUUUACACAUGCAAGUCGAACGGUAACAGGUUAAGCUGACGAGUGGCGAACGGGUGAGUAAUGCAUCGGAACGUGCCCGGUCGUGGGGGAUAACGAAGCGAAGGCUGCGCUAAUACCGCAUACGAUCUGAGGAUGAAAGCGGGGGACCGUAAGGCCUCGCGCGAUGGGAGCGGCCGAUGUCAGAUUAGGUAGUUGGUGGGGUAAAGGCUCACCAAGCCAACGAUCUGUAGCUGGUCUGAGAGGACGACCAGCCACACUGGGACUGAGACACGGCCCAGACUCCUACGGGAGGCAGCAGUGGGGAAUUUUGGACAAUGGGCGAAAGCCUGAUCCAGCAAUGCCGCGUGCAGGAAGAAGGCCUUCGGGUUGUAAACUGCUUUUGUACGGAGCGAAAAGGUCUCCUCUAAUACAGGGGGCUCAUGACGGUACCGUAAGAAUAAGCACCGGCUAACUACGUGCCAGCAGCCGCCGUAA
RNAcentral lists this ribosomal RNA (493 nucleotides) under uncultured bacterium. RNAcentral's name for it is "partial 16S ribosomal RNA". It matches the Rfam family "Bacterial small subunit ribosomal RNA", at positions 29 to 523 of the family's 1533-position model. The record is from RNAcentral.